RNAcentral lists this ribosomal RNA (445 nucleotides) under uncultured bacterium. RNAcentral describes it as "partial 16S ribosomal RNA". It matches the Rfam family "Bacterial small subunit ribosomal RNA", at positions 330 to 792 of the family's 1533-position model. The record is from RNAcentral.
UCCAGACUCCUACGGGAGGCAGCAGUGGGGGAUAUUGCACAAUGGGGGGAACCCUGAUGCAGCGACGCCGCGUGGGUGAAGAAGCGCCUCGGCGCGUAAAGCCCUGUCAGCAGGGAAGAAAAUGACGGUACCUGAAGAAGAAGCCCCGGCUAACUACGUGCCAGCAGCCGCGGUAAUACGUAGGGGGCAAGCGUUAUCCGGAUUUACUGGGUGUAAAGGGAGCGUAGACGGCGGUGCAAGCCAGAUGUGAAAGCCCGGGGCUCAACCCCGGGACUGCAUUUGAAACUGUUUUUCUUGAGUACUGGAGAGGCAGACGGAAUUCCUAGUGUAGCGGUGAAAUGCGUAGAUAUUAGGAGGAACACCAGUGGCGAAGGCGGUCUGCUGGACAGCAACUGACGCUGAGGCGCGAAAGCGUGGGGAGCAAACAGGAUUAGAUACCCCGGUA